UGGCCAGGCCUUUUAACUUCCCUAGUGUAACCGUGGGGCUGCUCUCCUGCUCAGGGUGGAGCCCGCAGGUUAGAAUACGAGCAGACAAGCCGACAGAGGUAACUCGGAGUUUGGUGGCCUGGCUUCUUUGUGACAGGCGGAGGACAGGCGGACUUCUGCAGCCAUUCCGGCGAUGCUGGGAGGGCCGGCUGUGUUGCUCCUGCAGCCAGGAAUAAACCAGGCCGGUGUUCCUUCUCCGGGGAGUGUCUCCAUAGUUUUUUGGGGAAUAGCGUGCUCGCCGGGCCUUGGUCACGAAAGAGUUAAAUUUCAGGCAUUCUGCUAACUCUGGAAUCUGCUCCGUGCCGAGAUCACAGAAAGCACAUUCAAAGUCUCUGCCGUGGGGAAACGAGAAAGUGGCUCCGUGCUAAGCCGCUAAGCCGAGGGGGAAAAGUGUCGGGAGAGGGGAGGUCAGGCUGGUGGGACUUCAAAGGCAGAAACCAGUUAGGAGGAGCCUUGUCUUGCUGCGGAUGUGGAAUUUGCCCAGCAUUAAGCAGAACAAACGCUGGGGAGUCAGCAGCCACCGUGUAAACGUAGAUCCCGACAACAGAUUUCCCCCCGGCUGCAGAGACAGACCCGCUCUCCGAAUGGCCGCCGUUGCUUUAAAUUCUCACCUGGUCCUCUAAAGUGCUUGCAACCCCUCCCCGCUUGGUGUCGUCUGCACACGCAACAGGCACACUCUCCUCUCAACCAGCCAACGCGUUCAUGAAAAUAUUGGCAGCUGCGGGACGCAGGACAGACCCCAGCCGAACCCCAUGAGAAGUGAGCUAUUGGUGACUACUCUUUCACGACCGUCCUUCCCCCAGGCAUGUAGGGACCCCAGUGGCCCCUGCUCCUGGCUAGAAGAGCGGCUGGCAGCCCCCGGGCAGACCUGGGCCAGGUGUUCUGAAAGCCAGAGGUGAUUCCAGGUGGGGGAGC
Non-coding RNA from Pelodiscus sinensis (Chinese soft-shelled turtle), 954 nucleotides. NCBI's taxonomy places the organism in Eukaryota, Metazoa, Chordata, Testudines, Trionychidae. The record is from RefSeq and is a predicted model, not a curated record.